GGGUGAGAGCUCGGGUUCAGACAGAGGCAGGGGGAGCCUGGAAGGAGCACAGAGUGAAGACGGAGCCCCUGUACCCCCAGAGGCAUCUCUCAGCCAUCCCAGCCCUACUGAACCAAGUCCUUACCCUGGGAGCACUGCUGAGAGCUCACCUGCCACACCUUCACCUGGGGUGUGAGGACAGGAAGAAUGGUCAACAUAAGUACAUUUGGCACAGAGAAUGGCCAGGGACCCCAGAGAGGAGAGCCAGAAGUCCCGGGAUGUUCGGGAAGCCCACUGUUGGGGUCUGAGAAAUGUGGGAUUCCAGAUGUUCACAAGUUUAUAAAGCAUUUGGGGAAACCACUGGAAGCUUCGCGGAUACAGUUUCAGGUUCUGAAAUGAUCAUUGUUUACCACUUGAUUCACCCUUUGGUUUCCAGGCUCAUGGAGCAGCUCGUCUUAUAUGUUCACAGCUUGUAAGAAAAGCACCAAGUUGGCAGAGCGAGGUGGCUCAUGCCUGUAAUUCCAGCACUUUGGGAGCCCAAGGAAAGGAAAGGACUGAAGACUUAGGGAAGAAACGAAGUGGCUUCUUGAAGGACUUGUGCAAAGAAGGGUGGAGAAUCCGCUUUUUGAAA
This is a non-coding RNA of Callithrix jacchus (white-tufted-ear marmoset), 610 nucleotides long. NCBI's taxonomy places the organism in Eukaryota, Metazoa, Chordata, Mammalia, Primates, Cebidae. The record is from RefSeq and is a predicted model, not a curated record.